CCUACGGGUGGCAGCAGUGGGGAAUUUUGGACAAUGGGGGCAACCCUGAUCCAGCCAUGCCGCGUGAGUGAAGAAGGCCUUCGGGUUGUAAAGCUCUUUCGGCCGGGACGAAAUCGCGCCUUUUAAUACGAGGCGUGGAUGACGGUACCGGAAGAAGAAGGACCGGCUAACUACGUGCCAGCAGCCGCGGUAAUACGUAGGGUCCGAGCGUUAAUCGGAAUUACUGGGCGUAAAGCGUGCGCAGGCGGUUUUGUAAGCCAGAUGUGAAAUCCCCGGGCUUAACCUGGGAACUGCAUUUGGGACUGCAAGGCUGGAGUACGGCAGAGGGAGGUGGAAUUCCACGUGUAGCAGUGAAAUGCGUAGAGAUGUGGAGGAACACCGAUGGCGAAGGCAGCCUCCUGGGCUAGUACUGACGCUCAUGCACGAAAGCGUGGGGAGCAAACAGGAUUAGAUACCCUAGUAGUC
RNAcentral lists this ribosomal RNA (465 nucleotides) under uncultured beta proteobacterium. Its description in RNAcentral is "bacterial SSU rRNA". It matches the Rfam family "Bacterial small subunit ribosomal RNA", at positions 338 to 795 of the family's 1533-position model. The record is from RNAcentral. Lineage: Bacteria; Pseudomonadati; Pseudomonadota; Betaproteobacteria.